Long non-coding RNA from Lontra canadensis (Northern American river otter), 593 nucleotides. RefSeq lists it as uncharacterized. The record is from RefSeq and is a predicted model, not a curated record. The transcript has 3 exons. Lineage: Eukaryota; Metazoa; Chordata; Mammalia; Carnivora; Mustelidae.
AAUCCCUGUGAUAAUCAGGAUCUGUGGCAGGACACAGUGCUCAUAGACCUGCCUUCUGAGAAAGCUCCAGAGAUCCUGACGAUAGAGGCACGCGUGUCCAGUGCCCAUUUCUGGCAGGUGAAUGGCCAUCCUGCCUGGAUUCCUGUCAGCUAAUGUCCAGGAGACAACAGGUCCUACUCCAGCUGAGUGGCCAGCGAUCUCCAGAUCCCAGGAUAAACUGGAGAGAGAUCAGGAGUCUCUGGGAUCUGCUGUUUCCAGGAACUUUGUUGUACCCUGGACAAUAAAAGCGAGUUCAUCAACAUUGGUUACUGCACACCACACAGAAAUCAUUGGCAUCUGUAAGGGAUGUAAGAAGAACCUCCAUGAGGUCCAGGUGGGGAACAGGACUCUAGGAGUCUUUAAUCUUGACCACCAUCACCUCAGUGAGCAAGGACUUACACAGGUUGUUUCCUGGACAGUAAAAUGGACCCUAUCAAGCAGGUCGGGGUACACCACACAGAAAUCACCAGCAUCUGUAAGGGGUGUAAGAAGAACAUCCAUGAAGUCCAGGUGGGGAAAAGGACUCUGGAGUCUCUAAUCUUGACCACCGACAC